CCCUUAGAUGUUCGGGGCCGCACGCGCGCUACACUGAAGGAAUCAGCGCGUCUUUCUCCUUGUCCGAAAGGACUGGGUAACCCGCUGAACCUCCUUCGUGCUAGGGAUUGGGGCUUGUAAUUCUUCCCCAUGAACGGGGAAUUCCCAGUAAGCGCGAGUCAUAAGCUCGCGUUGAUUACGUCCCUGCCCUUUGUACACACCGCCCGUCGCUACUACCGAUUGGAUGGUUUAGUGAGAUCCUCGGAUUGGUCCCGGCGCGGCCUCUGGUCGUGCCGGAGUGCCGAAAAGAAUGUCGAACUUGAUCAUCUAGAGGAAGUAAAAGUCGUAACA
Molecule: ribosomal RNA, 330 nt
Filed under: uncultured eukaryote
Lineage: Eukaryota
Description: partial 18S ribosomal RNA
Rfam family: Eukaryotic small subunit ribosomal RNA
Source: RNAcentral